RNAcentral lists this transfer RNA (84 nucleotides) under Pyricularia grisea. RNAcentral's name for it is "tRNA-Arg". It matches the Rfam family "tRNA". From Rfam's summary of the family: Transfer RNA (tRNA) molecules are approximately 80 nucleotides in length. Their secondary structure includes four short double-helical elements and three loops (D, anti-codon, and T loops). The record is from RNAcentral. Lineage: Eukaryota; Fungi; Ascomycota; Sordariomycetes; Magnaporthales; Pyriculariaceae. RNAcentral also lists the same sequence under 1 other name.
GGUCCGGUGGCUCAAUGGUAGAGCGUCUGACUACGAUACCAUCUGGAUAUCAGGAGGUUGCAGGUUCGAGACCUGCCCGGAUCG